CCUACGGGUGGCAGCAGUGGGGAAUUUUGCGCAAUGGGGGAAACCCUGACGCAGCAACGCCGCGUGCGGGACGAAGGCCCUCGGGUUGUAAACCGCUUUCAGCAGGGAAGAUCCAAGACGGUACCUGCAGAAGAAGCUCCGGCUAACUACGUGCCAGCAGCCGCGGUAAUACGUAGGGGGCGAGCGUUAUCCGGAUUCAUUGGGCGUAAAGCGCGCGAGGGCGGCCGCCUAAGCGGGACCUCUAACCCCGGGGCCAAACCCCGGGCCGGGUUCAGGACUGGGGGGCUCGGGUGCGUUAGAGGAGGGCGGAAUUCGGGGUGUAGCGGUGGAAUGCGCAGAUAUCGGGAAGAACACCGAUGGCGAAGGCAGCUCUCUGGGCCGUCACUGAGGCUGAGGCGCGAAAGCUGGGGGAGCGAACAGGAUUAGAUACCCUUGUGUC
Molecule: ribosomal RNA, 439 nt
Filed under: uncultured bacterium
Lineage: Bacteria
Description: partial 16S ribosomal RNA
Rfam family: Bacterial small subunit ribosomal RNA
Source: RNAcentral